This 451-nucleotide ribosomal RNA is filed under the name uncultured Allobrachymonas sp. Its description in RNAcentral is "bacterial SSU rRNA". It matches the Rfam family "Bacterial small subunit ribosomal RNA", at positions 923 to 1382 of the family's 1533-position model. Lineage: Bacteria; Pseudomonadati; Pseudomonadota; Betaproteobacteria; Burkholderiales; Comamonadaceae. The record is from RNAcentral.
GCACAAGCGGUGGAUGAUGUGGUUUAAUUCGAUGCAACGCGAAAACCUUACCACUUUGACAUGGCAGGAAUCCCGAAGAGAUUUGGGAGUGCUCGAAAGAGAACCUGCACACAGGUGCUGCAUGGCUGUCGUCAGCUCGUGUCGUGAGAUGUUGGGUUAAGUCCCGCAACGAGCGCAACCCUUGCCAUUAGUUGCUACGAAAGGGCACUCUAAUGGGACUGCCGGUGACAAACCGGAGGAAGUGGGGAUGACGUCAAGUCCUCAUGGCCCUUAUAGGUGGGGCUACACACGUCAUACAAUGGCCGGUACAGAGGGUAGCCAACCCGCGAGGGGGAGCCAAUCCUGAAAGCAGGCCUCAGUUCAGAUUGCAGUCUGCAACUCGACUGCAUGAAGCCGGAGUUGCUAGUAACCGCAGGUCAGCAAUACUGCGGUGAAUACGUUCCCGGGUCUU